UACGUAGGGUGCGAGCGUUAUCCGGAAUUACUGGGCGUAAAGUGUGCGCAGGCGGCCGAGCAAGUCGAGUGUGAAAGCCCCGAGCUUAACUUGGGAACUGCGCUCGAAACUACUUGGCUAGAGUGUGGCAGAGGGAGGUGGAAUUCCACGUGUAGCGGUGAAAUGCGUAGAGAUGUGGAGGAACACCGAUGGCGAAGGCAGCCUCCUGGGCCAACACUGACGCUCAUGCACGAAAGCGUGGGGAGCAAACAGG
RNAcentral lists this ribosomal RNA (253 nucleotides) under uncultured bacterium. RNAcentral describes it as "partial 16S ribosomal RNA". It matches the Rfam family "Bacterial small subunit ribosomal RNA", at positions 524 to 776 of the family's 1533-position model. The record is from RNAcentral.